Molecule: long non-coding RNA, 1608 nt
Filed under: Homo sapiens (human)
Lineage: Eukaryota; Metazoa; Chordata; Mammalia; Primates; Hominidae
Description: HSALNT0078646
Source: RNAcentral
CUGGGAUUACAGGCGUGAGCCACCGCGCCCUUCCCCAGAUACUCACUCUUGGAGGUGAAUCAGGAAACUAAGUAGGCAUUCAGUGCAAAGGAGUCCUGCCAUUAAUUAUUCUUAUCUGUGAUCGUUUUGGAAAAGAGAGUGGUGGCAGACAUCUGUGUAUUUUUGGACUCUGGAUGGGAAACUUUAUGCUAAUAUCUAAAAUUAGUUAAAAUUUUAACUAUUCUGAAAUUAGUUAAAAUUCUCAUGGAAUUUCUUUCUCUCUCUUUCUUUUUUUUUCGAGGUUUCACCAUGUUGCCCAGGCUGGAUCUGGAACUCCUAGGCUCAAAUGAUCUGCCUGCCUCUGCCUCUCAAAAUGCUGGAAUUACAGGUGUGAGCUAAUGCGCUCAGCCUUAGAUUAAGAUAUCCGGGAUUACUUCAUUCUGGUCUUAGUGCAAUUAGUAGAAUUUGCCUCCAGUUCUGGCAUUUUGAAUAAACACAGUUUAACAAAACCCAUUUUUUAAUCCCUCCCAACUAUCUGUCUUCCUUGCUGUUGUUUAUUAGCUUUGUUAUUUGAGGUCAUCGUUUUUGUAUCUAGCCUCUUAACAAUUCCUCAGUGGUCACUGCCACUGCCUCAUAGUUCCAAGUUGAUCUGGAAAAAUGAUAGACCCUACGCAUGCAUAAUUCCUGCACUACAUCUUCUGUAAAGGAUAUGAGUAGUAACAGGUCUCUGAUUUGGCACUGGUUCUUUCCCAAUGUUCCAAGAAAGACAUUGUAUCUGCUGUUUUAUAUUUGGUGGUUAAAAUUCUUUAUAAACAUCUUUUAAUCUUAUUAUUUCAUGAAAGACCUAGACCAAAUGAAUCAUGAACCAAUGCUCAUAAUGUUCAGAUUGAUGUUUGUAGUUUGUUAUAUAAGACAAACAAAUAUUUUGCUUUCACUUGAGGGUUAUAGAAGUUUGUAACUAAUAAGCAAUUAACCAUAAACUUUGAUGUCUUUUCUGUAUUGAAGCAAACUUUCUUAUGAGAAUAUGGGUUUAGUGAUGGAGUAAGUCACUGUAUAAUGUAUACUUAUGAGAUAAUUAUACAUACAUAUUUCCUUAGAUUGUGAAUUCCUUUUAGGGCAUGGGCCACUCAUAUUCAUCCUUGUGCCUAACACAAAUUUGGCCUUCAUUAAACAGACAAUUAAUUGAAGGCCUCAAUGAAAAAUGAUUUAAGAAUUUAUAUUUUUAAUUCCUUUUAAGUUCUGGCAAAUUUUUUCAAAGUUAGGCAUCUUACCUUCCGCUGGAAACCAUGUCUUAAUAGAAAGAACAGUGGACUUGCAUUCAGAAGACAGGUUAGUCUUGCUACUUCCUAAAACUUUCCGAACUUCAAUUUCCUCAAGUGUUAACUUGAAAUAGAAUACAUCUGACAGUCAGUUCUGUAGGUCAGAAAUCUGAUGCUGGGCUACAAUCAAGAUGUUGGCAGGGCUGCAUACUGUUCUAGAGACAAUGGGGUGGGAGGGAUCUAUCUUCUUGCCUUUCCCAGCUUGUAGAGACCACCUGCAUUCCUUGACUCAUGACUUGCUUCCUUUGUCUAGAUAGCUACCAGGAACAAAUCCAGCAUUGUUCAUGCUGGUGUCUUACUCUCUUAACCU